RNAcentral lists this ribosomal RNA (200 nucleotides) under uncultured bacterium. RNAcentral describes it as "partial 16S ribosomal RNA". It matches the Rfam family "Bacterial small subunit ribosomal RNA", at positions 8 to 224 of the family's 1533-position model. The record is from RNAcentral.
AGAGUUUGAUCCUGGCUCAGAAUCAACGCUGGCGGCGUGCCUAACACAUGCAAGUCGAACGAGAAAGGGGAGCAAUCCCUGAGUAAAGUGGCGACCGGGUGAGUAACACGUGACUAACCUGCCUUCGAGUGGGGAAUAACCUCGGGAACCGGGGCUAAUACCGCAUAAUGCCUCGGGUUAAAGGAGCAAUUCGCUUGAAG